AGUGAACGCUGGCGGUAGGCCUAACACAUGCAAGUCGAACGGCAGCACAGUAAGAGCUUGCUCUUACGGGUGGCGAGUGGCGGACGGGUGAGGAAUACAUCGGAAUCUACUUUUUCGUGGGGGAUAACGUAGGGAAACUUACGCUAAUACCGCAUACGACCUACGGGUGAAAGCAGGGGAUCUUCGGACCUUGCGCGAUUGAAUGAGCCGAUGUCGGAUUAGCUAGUUGGCGGGGUAAGGCCCACCAAGGCGACGAACCGUAGCUGGUCUGAGAGGAUGAUCAGCCACACUGGAACUGAGACACGGUCCAGACUCCUACGGGAGGCAGCAGUGGGGAAUAUUGGACAAUGGGCGCAAGCCUGAUCCAGCCAUACCGCGUGGGUGAAGAAGGCCUUCGGGUUGUAAAGCCCUUUUGUUGGGAAAGAAAAGCAGCAGGUUAAUACCCCGCUGUUCUGACGGUACCCAAAGAAUAAGCACCGGCUAACUUCGUG
This 491-nucleotide ribosomal RNA is filed under the name uncultured bacterium. RNAcentral's name for it is "partial 16S ribosomal RNA". It matches the Rfam family "Bacterial small subunit ribosomal RNA", at positions 29 to 507 of the family's 1533-position model. The record is from RNAcentral.